CAGCCUCAGGCGUGCGCGGACGGUGUGCGGGUCCAGCUAUGCAUCACCCCUUCGCUGAUGAGCCUUAAGAAAAUCCAAAUUUAUAAAUUGCUGGGUCCAUCUCUCUUGCCAUCCAGAAAAGUCAGAGCAACUGGUCUUGCUGGUUUUAAGUGUUGCCUGUGUUUCUGGCAUUGGUCACAAAGCCUACUGCCUGCUAAUCGGCAAGUGGACCUGUUUCUCUAACAAUGGCCCGAAACUUCACAACAUCAAAGGAGAAAUCAUUGCCAGCAAAAGCAUUUCCGGGUAGUAGGAAAGAAUACAAGUGAAUAACAUUAGUCCAGAAGUUUUAAUAAUAUUCUUUGCUGGUUGAAAUUCAUGUUUAACAUGAUGUAAAUUACUUGAUAAGCAAAUUAAGAACUAUGCUACUACAGACUCCAAAUAAGACGCAAGAAAAAUGAGGGGAAAUACAUUAAAG
This 454-nucleotide long non-coding RNA is filed under the name Pan troglodytes (chimpanzee). RNAcentral describes it as "lincRNA". Lineage: Eukaryota; Metazoa; Chordata; Mammalia; Primates; Hominidae. The record is from RNAcentral.